GACGAGUGGCGGACGGGUGAGUAAUGCUUGGGAACUUGCCUUUGCGAGGGGGAUAACAGUUGGAAACGACUGCUAAUACCGCAUAAUGUCUUCGGACCAAACGGGGCUUCGGCUCCGGCGCAAAGAGAGGCCCAAGUGAGAUUAGCUAGUUGGUAAGGUAACGGCUUACCAAGGCGACGAUCUCUAGCUGUUCUGAGAGGAAGAUCAGCCACACUGGGACUGAGACACGGCCCAGACUCCUACGGGAGGCAGCAGUGGGGAAUAUUGCACAAUGGGGGAAACCCUGAUGCAGCCAUGCCGCGUGUGUGAAGAAGGCCUUCGGGUUGUAAAGCACUUUCAGUUGUGAGGAAAAGUUAGUAGUUAAUACCUGCUAGCCGUGACGUUAACAACAGAAGAAGCACCGGCUAACUCCGUGCCAGCAGCCGCGGUAAUACGGAGGGUGCGAGCGUUAAUCGGAAUUACUGGGCGUAAAGCGCACGCAGGCGGUUUGUUAAGCUAGAUGUGAAAGCCCCGGGCUCAACCUGGGAUGGUCAUUUAGAACUGGCAGACUAGAGUCUUGGAGAGGGGAGUGGAAUUCCAGGUGUAGCGGUGAAAUGCGUAGAUAUCUGGAGGAACAUCAGUGGCGAAGGCGACUCNNUGGCCAAAGACUGACGCUCAUGUGCGAAAGUGUGGGUAGCGAACAGGAUUAGAUACCCUGGUAGUCCACACCGUAAACGCUGUCUACUAGCUGUGUGUGUCUUUAAGGCGUGCGUAGCGAAGCUAACGCGCUAAGUAGACCGCCUGGGGGAGUACGGCCGCAAGGUUAAAACUCAAAUGAAUUGACGGGGG
Molecule: ribosomal RNA, 828 nt
Filed under: Alteromonadales bacterium HOT3C8
Lineage: Bacteria; Pseudomonadati; Pseudomonadota; Gammaproteobacteria; Alteromonadales
Description: bacterial SSU rRNA
Rfam family: Bacterial small subunit ribosomal RNA
Source: RNAcentral